CCCGUCCUGCCCCCAACCACCUGAAACUGGUCCUGCCAGAGAGUCCCCACACACUCCCUGCGAGGUUGUAAAUACCCCCGGGGAUCCAUGACUUCAUUAGACCAUGACGCACAUUAUCCAGUCUCUUGUUCAGUUCUGAAAGACUAUAUGACUGUCUGGAGAUUAAACUCCUGAAAAUGUUCCCUGGGAAAGAAGCAGAAGCCAGAAAGCGGGGUUGUAAGACUAAAAUGGGAGAAAAAAAAAUGGUAACGACUUAAAAAGCCCUAAAGACAUCUCCCCGCAGAGAACAUUCCGGAGUCAAUCCGACUCUUCAGAAAAAGCUACUGACAGGUAUUGUUGACUGAGCUGCUGUCUCUAAUGCCGUCUCUUGAGUUGUUUACUGGACAGUCUUGUCUGGGUUUCAGGCACAGAACAGCGAAAGCUGUCGAUACUUCUCGAGUACGUGUGGAUUCCUUACAAGGCACUCCCGACUAAGGCUGAAGGCUUUAAUUAAAUGAGCAAUUAGCUUGGGGCAUGGAUGUUUAUACAAAAAGAAAAUAAGUUAAUUAAUUUGGAAAUUAUUUGCCACCGUGAACAUGAGCCUACCGUGGGCUUUACACGGUGCCAGAGGUACGUGCGCUGCGGUUCAAGAGCAGAGAAAUGUCAGGGUCGGGAGAGGCCCCGCAGGCUGGCAGCCCAUGCUUCAGCAUUCCUGAUUACACGACCCGCCUGCGCGCCAGCAGCGUCUCCGCCUCCCAGGCUUCACCCCCGCCGACACCUGACGUCCAGCCUGCAGGCUGGCCUUCUCCACCGGAGGCCUUCCCUGCUGCACCUGCAGCCACCCGCUGUCUCGCUGCGUCAGGUGCUGCCACUGCGCCCAAGGAGGGAAGCGCGACAAAACCGUGUGGGUUUUUUCACCAAAGGUGCUCUGCAGAGAGAUGUUCCUCCGGUCCAGGGCAGGCAAGCAUAUCUGAGAGUGAAAACAAAUUCGAGAUGCCGAAGGAGACAGACAUGGGAGUAAACAGAUCUGCUGGGAGAGUGGCCAUCCUGCAAGAGGGCAGGCGGGCUGGCCAAGUCAAGGGCGGACGUCCAGGGAGAGAGCGCGUGGCGGCGUUCCCCAGCUCCGGCUCUGGCACCAACGGCACAGCCAUGCGGCGAAGGUCGUCCUGAAGGAGUGGGCACAGGUCGCCGGGCCCUCGGGACUGGGCAGGAGUUCCGGGUCCACGAAUAAGGACACAAUAACUUGACAGGAACCGGGGAAAAGCCCAGUCCAGAUCUGAAGACAACAAGAACAAAAAAAAAAAAAAAAAAAAACCACUGGAAAUUCUUCACAAUAACUUACUUAUUUAUUUCUUUGUCUAUAAAACAGAAAUAAUCAAUGAAGUAAAAAAAUUAAAAUGGAUUAAGUGCUUUUUAGCACAGGACGUCAUUCCCCCGAAGACUGGAGGCCAGUGGUUCUGUUUCCUACAAAGACCAUAAUAUGAGGUCUUGGUACAGGAGGCUCUUGGUUAGAUGCAUGUUGCACAGCGUUGGAACCUGUUACUGAUGCUUGAUGUACAAGCUGCGGAAAAACAACUUCUCCCGGGUCUCUGAUGUUUAAGUGGAACUUGACGGAAGCCUUGGGGCGCUAAAUAAUUUCAGAUUCUCUCUUUGAUGGAGAGUCAGGUGUCAGGAUACACUCACUCCACAGCUGUACUGCACAGUACAAUAACCCUCGAACCUUCUUCUUCUUCCUCAAACCCACCCAGUGACCCAGCAGCAUCCCGCCCCGACCUGUCACCGCAGCGUGGCUGGUCCCCACUUGCCUAGGUCACACCCCAGGAUCCCUGCUACUGAGUUCAGGCUGUUUUGAUGCAAGUCAAAAGGAGUUUUAUUAACUAACCUCAGAGCUGGUCAAACAUACUAUUUUCAGGCAGUUUGGGAAACAAAACGGUGUGAUGGCUGGUGGUUAUAGGAGCCAAGGGACGCUGUCUCCUGCAAAGCCCCUUCCCUCAAACCUUGUACUCUGGGAGAAAGUUGCUUUAAUUGUAAAUACAAAAUGGCUUCACAAAGUGUAUACGUCUGUUGGAUGAUUCCAGCAGGAAAAUUAAAACUUUAUAACGUAUGCUAUUUUAAAAAGUUCAUACUUUAAAAAUCACAGCAAACUUAGAUUCUAUUACACUCUGGGACCCCAGGUGAGCGUGGGUGAAGGUCAAAUCCCUUUACUGUGGGCAGAGAUCUUGCUAUCCUUUGCCAAAGUUUAUUUUUCUCUCGUUUCCUAAAACGUAGACAGUAGAUUCGGCAAUUUAUGAACGGCAUUUUAGGCUACACUUAACAUGGUCUUUGACAUCUAGUCUUACAAGGAGACAGAUUAGUGUCCACCAAAUUCUGGCCCUUGAAAAGAAAAUGAGAGUAGCAGUUGUGUCUUGAGUGAACGAAGCUCGGGUUAGCUUAAAAGAAGCAUGAGGGAGCUUUCUGGAAUAAUAGUGGUAAAGUUCUAUGCCUUGAUAAAGAUUGGUAACACAGAUGUAUAACUCUAGCUAAUGAUAUGUACAUUGAAGUAUUUAGGGGGAAACACAAUAAAAUUUAAGUUGAAUUGGGGCGCCUGAGUGGC
RNAcentral lists this long non-coding RNA (2572 nucleotides) under Felis catus (domestic cat). RNAcentral describes it as "lncRNA (ENSFCAG00000051192.1)". Lineage: Eukaryota; Metazoa; Chordata; Mammalia; Carnivora; Felidae. The record is from RNAcentral.